CACUAAUCCUAUUCACGAGGGCUCCACUCUCAUGAUCUAAUUACCUCCCAAAGGGUCACCUGCAAAUACUAUUACCUUGGGGAUUAAGGGCUUCACCAUGAACAUGGGAGGCAUAAACAGUCAAUCCAUAGCAAGUCCGUAGGCCUCACUAGAUGUCCAAAGAGUCUAUGGAGGAGUUCCCAUCAUGGCUCAGCGGUGAGUGAACCCAACCAAUAUCCAAGAAGUUCAACCCCUGGCCUCACUCAGUGGGCUAAGGAUUCUGCAUUGCCGUGAGUAGGUCAUAGACGAGGCUUGGAUCCCGUGUUGCUGUCGCUGUGGUGUAGGCCGGCAGCUACAGCUCCGAUUGGACCCCUACCCUGGGAACCUCCAUAUGGCUCGGGUGCAGCCCUAAAAAGACAAAAAGACCCCAAAAAAAUGAGUCUAUGGAAGAAAAGGGAAAGAUGGUUAGCCAUCCCCUACCCCCCAUGAAACAUGCCCCCACCACAAAGACUCCUGUGACAACAUCAGUCAAGAGCCUUUAACUCUAAGUCCCUACAGACCUGAAUUCUCCAAGUUCCUCAAGAGGUGAUAAAUAUCCAUAGUCAUGUCAAAAGUAGGAAAUUCAAAGAGUUUAGAUGAAGCACAAGGGCUGGAAGGGGAUGGUGGGAAGGAAGGAGAGGCCAAGGGAGGUCGUCUCUGGGGCUCCUCAGGGUCUGUUUCUCCAGGAGAAGAGCUGAGUGGCCUCCACCCCACGUCCGUGAAGGCCCAGCUUUGCCACACACAGAGGUGGAUGCGAGGGGGGCACAGCCACAAGGCCAUCUCCUUGGCGGCAAAACCCAGGCUAGAACAGGUCUCCAACCAUGAGGCACCUGCUGAUUCCAGACCAACAGGGCACCUCUCUCAACUCCAUCAGGAAAGGAAGAGGAAACUCUUUCGUGAACAUAAUUCUAAACUGGGUGAGAGAUACUGUGAGCCGCUCAAUUCCCUACCCCUCACACUAAUUACACACGCGCUCUGGGUUAAUUAAUUUGUAGGAUCGGGCCGUAUUGCUGAGCGGACAUUUUUUUCUGGGUUUCAACUGCUCUACUUCUCAAGUUGAAAUUAACUUUGCUGCAACUUUUUUUUUCUUUCUCUCACCUUUAACUUGAAGUCGGUUUGCAUGUUUUCCUUUUGCAGUUUGGGAAAAAAAAUUAAAAAGGAGGGAAAAAAAGAAAGGUUAUUUGAUCUUUUGAAGAGAGAAACCCUGCUCAUGGAUUUUCUGCAUAGAAUUCAUUGGAGAGAAAAGAGCAAUUGAGUGAACAGAAUGGGAAAGGGAGGACAAGGAAGGGCACAAGCAGCUUUGAACUCCUCCAGGUGGAGGCCAGAAGCUGCCCCCAGUAUCCCAGGGCAGACCCCCAUCCCCUGAAACCAAGCCCUUGGAGACUCUUCUGCAUCCAGGCCAUGCCCACCUGAUCGGAGGACUCUGGGCUACAGAUUCUUCAAACACCCCACAAGAGGGGAGCUUGAGACUAAGCCAGAAAUGUUUGUGCUCCCCUCCUGGUGCUCACUGCCUCAGGCACUUUGAUCAGAGGAAUAAAAGCUGAGAACUAAGAAAUCAUUCUGAGUGCGAACGGAGAGAGGGAGAGCUGAUAAACCUGGGACAUAUACUCUUUGUAACAGGAACUUGUAUUUCUUCCUUCAUCUCUAGGCAUAAGGAUGCAAGGCAAAAUACAUGGCCAUCAACACUAGAUGAUAAAUGCUCAGAACGUCUGGGUCAGCUCAAGGGCUCACCCUCGCCUAAGAAAGAGAAAGCAUCUAACAUCCAAGUCAGGGCAGGCAUCUGAACACACAGACCCUUACUGCAGAGUCCUCUGGAAAUGUCCUCUGGACUUUGGGCAGAGCCAAGAUGUCAAGGGGCUGUGAGUACCAUAGGGCCAUCAUCAGGACUCAGUAAAGUUCCAUUUAAAACACAAGAUCCUUAGUACUAGAUAAGUGCUGGGCUUUGUGCUAGGGCAAAUUGGAGACAAAAGAUGAAUGGGAGACGGGGUACCCCACUGUUUUUCACAGUAGACUGACAAUAGCUCAUUGAUAAGUGCUAUAAAAACUGUAUUCACAAGGUCAAGGGUAGAAAAGAGUAGGAACGAUUAAUUAACUGGGACCAGUGAUGUUUGGGAAGGCAUCGUGGCAGAGGUCGUAGGCAAGGUAGAUUUAGUGAAAGAAUAGGAAGAAAACAUACCAUACAAGCCAUCUUCUAUACCUGGAACACAUGCAAAGGAAGGAACACAUGCAAAGCUGCAGAAAAGUGAAACCUCAAGGUGUGCUCAGCAGUCAGGGUUGUCUGGGGAGGCGAGGAGUUUUGAUAGAUGAGCCUGCAGUCAGGACACAAAAGACCUGUGCCCCACCAUACCCAGCUCUCAGGGGGGAUUUAUUCUGGUGGAGUGGUUUUAAGCAAGAAAGUAACAUGAUCAGAAAUGUGUGUGUGUGUGUGUGUGUGUGUGUGUGUGUGUUCCCCUAGCUCCGGCAGGGAACCUAUGCUGAAGAUGUAGAUCCGGGAGCUUCCAGGCUCAGAGUGGUGGCUGAAGUCAGGAAGAGGAAGAAACAUAAGUGAGGCAACCACCUCCAGACCCUGGUUCUGCCGAGUGGCUCCCAGCUUUAGAAAUUUCUAGAACAUCAGACCUGGAGAGUUCCUAGAGAUCCGCCCUCACCCCCUCAUUUUGCAGGUGAGGAAGCUGAAGACUGGAGGCAGCCAUGGCCAUUGUUCUCCGGUCACCCGACUCCCACAUCUGCCUCAGCCUUGAACAGCCUAUCCACUGCAUCUAAAGUGAACCAGAAGUUUGAGAAGGGGGUGGCAUUGAGGUGCCAAAGGGCAGAUUCAGAGGGAGUCAAUCCACAACCCAGGAGAUGAGGGGGAAAUGAAGGAUAUUAAGCAGUAGGAGAAGAAGGGGGCUGCAGGUUUCUGAGACAGUGCCUCCCCUUUCUCCACCCAGGGAACUCUCUCCAGCUCAAAUGCUGUCUCUUACCUGAAGCCAUCCCAACAAGCAGCACCCAGAGUGACCUCUCCCUUCCCAGACCUCCAUGGGUCCUUCUGGUAUGGUGUGUCCACAUUUAUCCCUAAACCGGAGUUUUCUGGGGGCAGGUGUCACAUUGCUCUUAACUGUGAACAGGGUCUGACCUGUUCACAGGGGCAGGUCUUCAGAGUCAGGGGCCAGAGGAAUCUAUGCUCGCUGGAAGGACACACACAAGCAAAGCUGUCAGGACCAGACCCAGGGAUGAAAAAAUGAGUAGACAGAUGAGGAAAAUGAGGGCAGAGUUCAGGAGAAAGCUGUGGGCCUGCCACGGUUCCCAAGGCCCAGCAUGGCUCUCACCCCCAGCCAGAGUCGCAGGCAGCAGAAAACACGAGUGAUCUGACACCAGUCAUGCCAGCUCUGGCAGAGGCAGGAUGGGACGAUCUAAUAGAUACUUUCCAGACUUCAUGUGUAUUAUCCCCAAACAAAAUGACAUGUGCUUCCAAGCAGCUCCUCUCUGGUUAUGAGCACUAUAAUUAAACACCAAGUACACACCCACCUCAGUCUGCACAGAGAGGGUGGGGAAGCCAACUUCAGCCCAGCAAAGCUGCCUGGCUGUCAAGGUGGAGCCCCAGGCUCACAUCACUGGCCCUUAGACUGGGCGGUCUCCAGCUGGCCUCUGAGAGCUGGCAGGUCACUCAAGACCCCAGGGAGUCCAAGAGGAGGCAGGGGGCUAGGAGAGUGGAGGCAGGAUUCCAGGCCCUAUUCUGCACUAAACAGGAGUCCCUUCUCAUCUUUUUCAUCUGGUCUCCCCGCCUGGCUGUUCUCCCCAUCACACGAGCCUGGGUCCCUCCUCAGUGCUCUCCCAGCCAAGGUUAGUCCACAGCCCUCAGCAGAUACCUCUCAAACAGCAGCCAGGGCUCUGGCAGACUUGGGACAUUCCUUUAGGGUCUCAGUUGUCCCCAGAGCCUCCCUCACAGCCAGCCCGGGUCUGCUCAGAGGCGGCUAUGAGAAAACGUCUCUGGAUCCAUCAGGGGCAUUCAAUUAAGCUUAGAAUCACAGCAAGUUUCCCCUCCCAAACCCAGAGCUGGGCCAAGGCUGGAAGCAGAGAUUCUUGAAACAAGGAAACUGAGCACUGGGUCAGGUCUUAUCACCCCAAAAUUUAAGGGGCUGUGCCAGGCUACAACCAGCCAAGGGACCCAGGCCAGUCAGAUCCUCAGAGUGGUCCCUAGCGGCCCAGCACUGCCCCUGCCCCCAACCCACCAGCUAUACCUGCUGAUUUUCAGGGACCCAGACCUGCCCUGGGGCUCCUUUGCUGUCCUGCAACUAGACUUAGCACAUCACGGCCCCGAAACCCCCUCUGACCUCGUCUUCCAUGAAUAGAUCCUGUGCAUCUCCUCUAGCCCUGGGCUGACUCCAAUUUUUCCUGCCAAAAGUCCCCCAGGGUCAGCCUAAUCUGGGCUGGCCCCGUCCAAGCCAGACUCAGGAAUGGCAGAUACAGAAGCAGAGACUAGGUCAUGCACAGCAGUCAGAGCAUGAGAUUCAACAUCUGGAGGGAAUCCCCAGGUGCUCAGGUCACCCCCUUCCCCCCAUCCUGGAAAAUCACUGCAUGCCCAAAGCAGUGCAACAGGAGGCUGGGGUCC
This 4606-nucleotide long non-coding RNA is filed under the name Sus scrofa (pig). RNAcentral's name for it is "lncRNA (ENSSSCG00040030293.1)". Lineage: Eukaryota; Metazoa; Chordata; Mammalia; Artiodactyla; Suidae. The record is from RNAcentral.